GAACGCNGGCGGCGUGCUUAACACAUGCAAGUCGAACGAGGUCCAACCUUCGGGUGAAGACCGAGUGGCGAACGGGUGAGUAACACGUGGGGAACCUGCCCUUCUCUCUGGGAUAACUCCGGGAAACCGGAGCUAAUACCGGAUACUCCUUGCGGACCGCAUGGUCUGCUCGGGAAAGCUCCGGCGGAGAAGGAUGGCCCCGCGGCCCAUUAGCUUGUUGGUGGGGUAACGGCCCACCAAGGCGACGAUGGGUAGCCGAGCUGAGAGGCUGAUCGGCCACACUGGGACUGAGACACGGCCCAGACUCCUACGGGAGGCAGCAGUGGGGAAUCUUGCGCAAUGGGCGAAAGCCUGACGCAGCAACGCCGCGUGCGGGAUGAAGGCUCUCGGGUCGUAAACCGCUUUCAGCAGGGAUGAAAAUGACAGUACCUGCAGAAGAAGCCCCGGCUAAAUACGUGCCAGCAGCCGCGGUAAUACGUAUGGGGCAAGCGUUAUCCGGAUUCAUUGGGCGUAAAGCGCGCGUAGGCGGCUUGUUAAGUCAGGCGUGAAAUCCGGGGGCUCAACCCGCGGCUUGCGUCUGAAACUGGCAGGCUUGAGUCUGGUAGAGGAAAGUGGAAUUCCUGGUGUAGCGGUGAAAUGCGCAGAUAUCAGGAGGAACACCAGUGGCGAAGGCGGCUUUCUGGGCCACGACUGACGCUGAGGCGCGAAAGCUAGGGGAGCGAACAGGAUUAGAUACCCUGGUAGUCCUAGCCGUAAACGAUGGGCACUAGGUGUGGGGGGUCAUCGACUCCCUCCGUGCCGAAGCUAACGCAUUAAGUGCCCCGCCUGGGGAGUACGGCCGCAAGGCUAAAACUCNAG
This 858-nucleotide ribosomal RNA is filed under the name uncultured Actinomycetes bacterium. RNAcentral describes it as "bacterial SSU rRNA". It matches the Rfam family "Bacterial small subunit ribosomal RNA", at positions 31 to 905 of the family's 1533-position model. The record is from RNAcentral. Lineage: Bacteria; Bacillati; Actinomycetota; Actinomycetes.